This 77-nucleotide transfer RNA is filed under the name Rhodospirillales bacterium. Its description in RNAcentral is "tRNA-Pro". It matches the Rfam family "tRNA". Rfam says of the family: Transfer RNA (tRNA) molecules are approximately 80 nucleotides in length. Their secondary structure includes four short double-helical elements and three loops (D, anti-codon, and T loops). Lineage: Bacteria; Pseudomonadati; Pseudomonadota; Alphaproteobacteria; Rhodospirillales. The record is from RNAcentral.
CGGGGUAUGGCGCAGUCUGGUAGCGUGCUCGCUUCGGAAGCGAGAGGUCGUCGGUUCAAAUCCGACUACCCCGACCA